Molecule: long non-coding RNA, 2244 nt
Filed under: Gossypium barbadense (sea-island cotton)
Lineage: Eukaryota; Viridiplantae; Streptophyta; Magnoliopsida; Malvales; Malvaceae
Description: long non-coding RNA (GBAR_LNC023459)
Source: RNAcentral
AUUUAAUAAAAUAUUACUUACAUGAACGGUGUGUGGUCGAUCUUUUUAGAUCUAGUAGGGUGUUGGUGGUGGAGGAGAAGCGUAGAUGUAGACCGGAGGUGGAGGUGAUUUCAUUGGUGGGGGAGGUGAGUGGUAGUAGUAUGGAGGAGGUGGUGACGGAGAUGGAGGAGGUGGAGAUUUGUAGUAGUAUGGUGGUGGGGGAAAGUGGACUGGUGGGGGGGGAGAUUUGUAGUAGUAUGGGGGAGGAGGAGAUGGUGAUGGUGGAGGAGGGGAGUUGUAGUGGUAGGUAGGUGCUGGAGCUUUCACUGGAGGUGGGGGUGAUUUGUAGUAGUAUGGUAGAGGUGGUGAAGGAGAUGGUGGUGGUGGGGAUUUGUAGUAGUAUGGUGGAGGUGGAGAGUGGACUGGUGGUGGUGGGGAUUUGUAGUAGUAUGGUGGGGGUGGAGAGUGGACUGGUGGUGGUGGGGACUUGUAAUAGUAUGGUGGAGGUGGUGAGGGAGAAGGUGGUGGUGGAGACUUGUAGUAGUAUGGUGGUGGGGACUUGUAAUAGUAUGGUGGAGGAGAUGGCGAUGGUGGUGGAGGAGAUUUGUAGAUGUAUGGGGGCUCCUCUACGUGUUUUGGUGGUGGUGGGGACUUGUAAUAGUAUGGUGGAGGUGGUGAGGGAGAAGGUGGUGGUGGAGACUUGUAGUAGUAUGGUGGUGGUGGGGAAUGAACUGGUGGUGGUGGGGACUUGUAAUAGUAUGGUGGUGGAGGAGAUGGCGAUGGUGGUGGAGGAGAUUUGUAGAUGUAUGGGGGCUUCUCUACGUGUUUUGGUGGUGGUGGAGACUUGUAAUAGUAUGGUGGAGGUGGUGAGGGAGAAGGUGGUGGUGGAGACUUGUAGUAGUAUGGUGGGGGUGGGGAGUGGACUGGUGGUGGUGGAGACUUGUAGUAGUAUGGUGGUGGUGGAGAAUGAACUGGUGGUGGUGGGGACUUGUAAUAGUAUGGUGGUGGAGGAGAUGGCGAUGGUGGUGGAGGAGAUUUGUAGAUGUAUGGGGGCUCCUCUACAUGUUUCGGUGGUGGUGGGGACUUGUAGUAGUAUGGUGGAGGAGAUGGUGAUGGUGGUGGAGGAGAUUUGUAAUAGUAUGGUGGAGGAGGAGAUGGCGAUGGUGGUGGGGGAGACUUGUAGUAGUAUGGGGGCUCCUCUACAUGUUUCGGCGGUGGUGGGGACUUGUAGUAGUAUGGUGGAUGAGGAGAUGGCGAUGGUGGUGGGGGUGAUUUGUAAUAGUAUGGUGGGGGUGGUGAUGGAGAUGGUGGUGGUGGGGACUUGUAGUAGUAUGGUGGAGGAGGAGAUGGUGAUGGUGGUGGAGGAGAUUUGUAGUAGUAUGGGGGCUCUUCUACAUGUUUUGGUGGUGGUGGGGAUUUGUAGUAAUAUGGUGGUGGAGGAGAUGGCGAUGGUGGAGGAGGAGAUUUGUAGUAGUAUGGAGGUUGCUCCUCAUGUUUUGGUGGUGGUGGGGACUUGUAGUAGUAUGGUGGUGGUGGAGAGUGAACUGGUGGUGGUGGGGACUUGUAAUAGUAUGGUGGAGGAGGAGAUGGUGAUGGUGGUGGAGGAGACUUGUAGUAGUACGGGGGCUGCUCUACAUGCUUUGGUGGUGGUGGAGACUUGUAGACAUAAGUGGGAGGUGGUGGUGAUUUGUAGUAGUACACAGGUGGUGGAGGUGACUUGUAAACAUAAGUCGGCGAUGGUGGAGGUGGUGACUUGUAAACAUAAGUGGGAGCCGGUGGAGGUGGAGACUUAUAGUAGUAUGGAGGUUGUUCCACAUGUUUUGGUGGUGGUGGAGACUUGUAGUAGUACACAGGAGGUGGAGGUGACUUGUAAACAUAAGUGGGAGCCGGUGGAGGUGGAGACUUAUAGUAGUAUGGAGGCUGUUCCACAUGCUUUGGUGGUGGUGGAGACUUGUAGUAGUACGCAGGAGGUGGAGGUGACUUGUAAACAUAAGUUGGUGAUGGUGGAGGUGGUGACUUGUAAACAUAAGUGGGAGCCGGUGGAGGUGGAGACUUAUAAUAGUACGGUGGUGGCUUGUACGGAUGAGUCGGAGGCUUAGGAGUGUACUUUUCACACUUCUUGUAAGGUUUCUUUGAACCAUAACCAAAUGGCUUAGCUCUAAGCACAACCUCGUACUUGUCCUCUGACUUGACCUUGAGCACAGCACCCUCGAUGCCAUCAUGUACACUCAUGGGUAUGUUGCAUGAUGAACCCUUAGGUGGGGC